RNAcentral lists this transfer RNA (82 nucleotides) under Comamonadaceae bacterium. Its description in RNAcentral is "tRNA-Leu". It matches the Rfam family "tRNA". Rfam says of the family: Transfer RNA (tRNA) molecules are approximately 80 nucleotides in length. Their secondary structure includes four short double-helical elements and three loops (D, anti-codon, and T loops). Further hydrogen bonds mediate the characteristic L-shaped molecular structure. tRNAs have two regions of fundamental functional importance: the anti-codon, which is responsible for specific mRNA codon recognition, and the 3' end, to which the tRNAs corresponding amino acid is attached (by aminoacyl-tRNA synthetases). tRNAs cope with the degeneracy of the genetic code in two manners: having more than one tRNA (with a specific anti-codon) for a particular amino acid; and 'wobble' base-pairing, i.e. permitting non-standard base-pairing at the 3rd anti-codon position. RNAcentral also lists the same sequence under 1 other name. The record is from RNAcentral. Lineage: Bacteria; Pseudomonadati; Pseudomonadota; Betaproteobacteria; Burkholderiales; Comamonadaceae.
GCCGGAGUGGUGAAAUUGGUAGACGCAGCGGACUCAAAAUCCGCCGCCGCAAGGCGUGCCGGUUCGAUUCCGGCCUCCGGCA